This 919-nucleotide ribosomal RNA is filed under the name Bacillus sp. PSu2_10. RNAcentral's name for it is "bacterial SSU rRNA". It matches the Rfam family "Bacterial small subunit ribosomal RNA", at positions 49 to 949 of the family's 1533-position model. The record is from RNAcentral. Lineage: Bacteria; Bacillati; Bacillota; Bacilli; Caryophanales; Bacillaceae.
CUAUACAUGCAGUCGAGCGGACUGAUUAAAAGCUUGCUUUUAUGAAGUCAGCGGCGGACGGGUGAGUAACACGUGGGCAACCUGCCUGUAAGACUGGGAUAACUUCGGGAAACCGGAGCUAAUACCGGAUAACACUAGGAACCUCCUGGUUCCUGGUUGAAAGAUGGUUUCGGCUAUCACUUACAGAUGGGCCCGCGGCGCAUUAGCUAGUUGGUGAGGUAACGGCUCACCAAGGCGACGAUGCGUAGCCGACCUGAGAGGGUGAUCGGCCACACUGGGACUGAGACACGGCCCAGACUCCUACGGGAGGCAGCAGUAGGGAAUCUUCCACAAUGGACGAAAGUCUGAUGGAGCAACGCCGCGUGAGCGAUGAAGGCCUUCGGGUCGUAAAGCUCUGUUGUUAGGGAAGAACAAGUGCGAGAGUAACUGCUCGCACCUUGACGGUACCUAACCAGAAAGCCACGGCUAACUACGUGCCAGCAGCCGCGGUAAUACGUAGGUGGCAAGCGUUGUCCGGAAUUAUUGGGCGUAAAGCGCGCGCAGGCGGUUUCUUAAGUCUGAUGUGAAAGCCCACGGCUCAACCGUGGAGGGUCAUUGGAAACUGGGGAACUUGAGUGCAGAAGAGGAGAGUGGAAUUCCACGUGUAGCGGUGAAAUGCGUAGAGAUGUGGAGGAACACCAGUGGCGAAGGCGACUCUCUGGUCUGUAACUGACGCUGAGGCGCGAAAGCGUGGGGAGCAAACAGGAUUAGAUACCCUGGUAGUCCACGCCGUAAACGAUGAGUGCUAAGUGUUAGAGGGUUUCCGCCCUUUAGUGCUGCAGCUAACGCAUUAAGCACUCCGCCUGGAGAGUACGGUCGCAAGACUGAAACUCAAAGGAAUUGACGGGGGCCCGCACAAGCGGUGGAGCAUGUGGUUUAU